This 473-nucleotide ribosomal RNA is filed under the name uncultured organism. Its description in RNAcentral is "partial 16S ribosomal RNA". It matches the Rfam family "Bacterial small subunit ribosomal RNA", at positions 335 to 799 of the family's 1533-position model. The record is from RNAcentral.
ACUCCUGCGGGAGGCAGCAGUGGGGAAUAUUGCACACUGGGCGCAAGCCUGAUGCAGCCAUGCCGCGUGUAUGAAGAAGGCCUUCGGGUUGUAAAGUACUUUCAGCGGGGAGGAAGGCGAUAAGGUUAAUAACCUUGUCGAUUGACGUUACCCGCAGAAGAAGCACCGGCUAACUCCGUGCCAGCAGCCGCGGUAAUACGGAGGGUGCAAGCGUUAAUCGGAAUUACUGGGCGUAAAGCGCACGCAGGCGGUCUGUCAAGUCGGAUGUGAAAUCCCCGGGCUCAACCUGGGAACUGCAUUCGAAACUGGCAGGCUAGAGUCUUGUAGAGGGGGGUAGAAUUCCAGGUGUAGCGGUGAAAUGCGUAGAGAUCUGGAGGAAUACCGGUGGCGAAGGCGGCCCCCUGGACAAAGACUGACGCUCAGGUGCGAAAGCGUGGGGAGCAAACAGGAUUAGAAACCCGUGUAGUCCCAUG